RNAcentral lists this ribosomal RNA (117 nucleotides) under Anaerolineae bacterium. Lineage: Bacteria; Bacillati; Chloroflexota; Anaerolineae. The record is from RNAcentral.
CUUGGUGAUUUUCGCGGCGAGGGUACACCUGGUCCCAUCCCGAACCCAGUAGUUAAGCUCGUCAGCGCCAAUGGUACUUGGAGGGUAACCUCCCGGGAGAGUAGGUCAUUGCCAAGG